RNAcentral lists this ribosomal RNA (253 nucleotides) under uncultured bacterium. Its description in RNAcentral is "partial 16S ribosomal RNA". It matches the Rfam family "Bacterial small subunit ribosomal RNA", at positions 524 to 776 of the family's 1533-position model. The record is from RNAcentral.
GACGUAGGGCGCGAGCGUUGUCCGGAUUUAUUGGGCGUAAAGAGCUCGUAGGCGGCUUGUUGCGUCGGCUGUGAAAACCCGCGGCUUAACUGUGGGCUUGCAGCUGAUACGGGCAGGCUAGAAUUCGGUAGGGGAGACUGGAAUUCCUGGUGUAGCGGUGAAAUGCGCAGAUAUCAGGAGGAACACCGGUGGCGAAGGCGGAUCUCUGGGCCUUACCUGACGCUGAGGCGCGAAAGCUAGGGGAGCAAACAGG